GUAGGGAAUAUUGGGCAAUGGUCGGAAGACUGACCCAGCCAUGCCGCGUGCAGGAAGACGGCCCUCUGGGUUGUAAACUGCUUUUAUCUGGGAAGAAAAAGGCCAUGCGUGGCAAAUUGCCGGUACCAGAUGAAUAAGCACCGGCUAACUCCGUGCCAGCAGCCGCGGUAAUACGGAGGGUGCGAGCGUUGUCCGGAUUUAUUGGGUUUAAAGGGUGCGUAGGCGGCUGAUUAAGUCAGCGGUGAAAGACUUCGGCUUAACCGGAGCAGUGCCGUUGAUACUGGUUGGCUUGAGUGUCGGAGGGGUACAUGGAAUUGAUGGUGUAGCGGUGAAAUGCAUAUAUACCAUCAGGAACACCGAUAGCGAAGGCAUUGUACUGGCCGACAACUGACGCUGAUGCACGAAAGUGUGGGGAUCGAACAGGAUUAGAUACCCUUGUAGUCC
Molecule: ribosomal RNA, 444 nt
Filed under: uncultured bacterium
Lineage: Bacteria
Description: partial 16S ribosomal RNA
Rfam family: Bacterial small subunit ribosomal RNA
Source: RNAcentral